RNAcentral lists this ribosomal RNA (735 nucleotides) under uncultured Arcobacter sp. Its description in RNAcentral is "bacterial SSU rRNA". It matches the Rfam family "Bacterial small subunit ribosomal RNA", at positions 28 to 776 of the family's 1533-position model. Lineage: Bacteria; Pseudomonadati; Campylobacterota; Epsilonproteobacteria; Campylobacterales; Arcobacteraceae. The record is from RNAcentral.
AGUGAACGCUGGCGGCGUGCUUAACACAUGCAAGUCGAACGAGAACGGGAUUAGCUUGCUAAUCUGUCAGCUAAGUGGCGCACGGGUGAGUAAUAUAUAGGUAACGUGCCUUCAAGAGGGGGAUAACAGAUGGAAACGUCUGCUAAAACCCCAUAUGCCUUUAAUGCGAAAGUAUGCAAGGGAAAUAUUUAUAGCUUGAAGAUCGGCCUGUACAGUAUCAGAUAGUUGGUGAGGUAAUAGCUCACCAAGUCAAUGACGCUUAACUGGUUUGAGAGGAUGAUCAGUCACACUGGAACUGAGACACGGUCCAGACUCCUACGGGAGGCAGCAGUGGGGAAUAUUGCACAAUGGGGGAAACCCUGAUGCAGCAACGCCGCGUGGAGGAUGACACAUUUCGGUGCGUAAACUCCUUUUAUAUAAGAAGAUAAUGACGGUAUUAUAUGAAUAAGCACCGGCUAACUCCGUGCCAGCAGCCGCGGUAAUACGGAGGGUGCAAGCGUUACUCGGAAUCACUGGGCGUAAAGAGCGUGUAGGCGGAUAGAUAAGUCAGAAGUGAAAUCCAAUAGCUUAACUAUUGAACUGCUUUUGAAACUGUCUAUCUAGAGUAUGGGAGAGGUAGAUGGAAUUUCUGGUGUAGGGGUAAAAUCCGUAGAGAUCAGAAGGAAUACCGAUUGCGAAGGCGAUCUACUGGAACAUAACUGACGCUGAGACGCGAAAGCGUGGGGAGCAAACAGG